Long non-coding RNA from Homo sapiens (human), 449 nucleotides. NCBI's taxonomy places the organism in Eukaryota, Metazoa, Chordata, Mammalia, Primates, Hominidae. The record is from Ensembl.
AAGAAUUCCAUUUGAACAUGUGCAGACUUGAGGCAUCUAGGGAUAUCUCUGUGGGAAUGUUGAUACUCAGAAGGAGUUUAGUGUAAAGAUAGGAUCAUAUGUAUCACACUACAUUAUACUAGUUGGUUUCAAGUCUGUGUAACCCUGAAUAUGAUGAAUCUGAAGGUAGACUGUCUUGGUGUCCCUAGCACAUUUGUUGGCAUGAAUGAGAUAUCCCAUGAAUCUGUACUGGGUUGAGUUAGACGUUUACCCACAGUGGGCCAGAUGCCUUUACAAGGUUAUAUUAUAGUAUAGAGAGGCAAGUCAUAAGUAUGUGGGAGGCACCUCAAGAAAGAGGAGACGUCUGGGAGAUGCCGGUGGAGCCAGGGUAGGUGGAGAGGACCCAGGAAGGAAAACAACCCGAACAUUCAAGAGGGGUGGAGGAAGGCAGGGAGACCAAGAGCAGCAUA